GACGAACGCUGGCGGCGCGCCUAACACAUGCAAGUCGAACGAGCGAGAGGAGGUUUACUUUCUCAAGCGAGUGGCGAACGGGUGAGUAACGCGUGAGGAACCUGCCUCAAAGAGGGGGACAACAGUUGGAAACGACUGCUAAUACCGCAUAAGCCCACGACCCGGCAUCGGGUAGAGGGAAAAGGAGCAAUCCGCUUUGAGAUGGCCUCGCGUCCGAUUAGCUAGUUGGUGAGGUAAUGGCCCACCAAGGCGACGAUCGGUAGCCGGACUGAGAGGUUGAACGGCCACAAUGGGACUGAGACACGGCCCAGACUCCUACGGGAGGCAGCAGUGGGGAAUAUUGCACAAUGGGGGAAACCCUGAUGCAGCGACGCCGCGUGGAGGAAGAAGGUCUUCGGAUUGUAAACUCCUGUUGUUGAGGAAGAUAAUGACGGUACUCAACAAGGAAGUGACGGCUAACUACGUG
RNAcentral lists this ribosomal RNA (466 nucleotides) under uncultured bacterium. Its description in RNAcentral is "partial 16S ribosomal RNA". It matches the Rfam family "Bacterial small subunit ribosomal RNA", at positions 28 to 507 of the family's 1533-position model. The record is from RNAcentral.